Molecule: small RNA, 652 nt
Filed under: Pongo abelii (Sumatran orangutan)
Lineage: Eukaryota; Metazoa; Chordata; Mammalia; Primates; Hominidae
Description: retained intron
Source: RNAcentral
GAUGGCAGCCGGUGGUCUGAGUCGCUCCGAGCGCAAAGCGGCUGAGCGGGUCCGGAGGUUGCGGGAGGAGCAGCAGAGGGAGCGCCUCCGCCAGGUACGCCGCCGCCGCUCCCCGGCCCGGCCAUGCCCGGCCCGCGCCGCCGCUCACCGCCUGCCUGCCCGCAGGUGUCGCGCAUCCUGAGGAAGGCGGCGGCGGAGCGCAGCGCCGAGGAGGGCCGGCUGCUGGCCGAGAGCGCGGACCUGGUAACGGAGCUGCAGGGCCGGAGCCGGCGGCGCGAGGGCUUGAAGCGGCGGCAGGAGGAGGUGUGCGACGACCCGGAGGAGCUGCGGGGGAAGGUCCGGGAGCUGGCCAGCGCCGUCCGGAACGCCAAAUACCUGGUCGUCUACACAGGCGCGGGAAUCAGCACGGCAGCGUCUAUCCCAGACUACCGGGGCCCUAAUGGAGUGUGGACACUGCUUCAGAAAGGGAGAAGCGUUAGUGCUGCGGACCUGAGUGAGGCCGAGCCAACCCUCACCCACAUGAGCAUCACCCGUUUGCAUGAGCAGAAACUGGUAAGAGCCCUGGGUGGCUGGUACACUUGCCAGGGACCAGGCAGAGCACCUUGGUGCCUAGUGGGCAGCUGCAUCCUCCCUCUGUCUGCCAGUUGACUCC